AAGCUGCCUCCAUGCCUCUGAGAUCCUGGUGUGACCAAGCUCCUGGGAUCUGGGAUCCUGUGAUCAUGUGGACCUGGAUUAAUAAAAUCCCAUUCUGAUUGUGUUGGUUAAAGAAUUGUGACUUGGAUCAGCUGACCAUUCUUCAGUGACUGGUUCCUGAAUGCCGAACCUGAGAAUGGACUAGGGGUCCUGAGACUAGAGCAGGGGAUGAGGAGACACAGAAGACAGAAGGCAGAGAAGAGAAAGCUGAGGGAUGGAGGUCUUGCACAAACUUUGUGGAAUGCCAAGCAAGGUUACUAAGCAGAGCACCUUCUGUACUAUCUUAAAGGGGAUCAAUGGGUGAAGCUGGCAGAAACUAUCCUACAAUGAGACGAAGUGUGUGGGAGGCCAAUCAAGCGAUGCUAAACAAGGGGACACAUGCUGUCUCAAGAGCAUGACAAACUGAACAUGAACAUACAGCUAGCUGUCUCCCAGGCCCCUCAGGGAGGAAAGCCUGCACAAGGUCUCAGAACUUGGUUGGUUCCCUUUGUCUGAGAAAGUCUUGAUUGGUCCAGCUCUCAACAGAAUUGUAAACCGUGAUAUCAUCCUAGUUGCUCUUCAGCGACACAAAGGUAGAAAGCCAAGUUUCACUUUAUACAUUGUCUUGUUAACAUAGGGAGUCUUGACAUAUUUUUUCUCUUUACAGCUUGUUUUUAAAAUUUGAAAAAAAAUAUUGUAGAAAAUUC
This 725-nucleotide long non-coding RNA is filed under the name Mus musculus (house mouse). Its description in RNAcentral is "predicted gene, 46947 (Gm46947)". The record is from RNAcentral. Lineage: Eukaryota; Metazoa; Chordata; Mammalia; Rodentia; Muridae.